Molecule: transfer RNA, 74 nt
Filed under: Jenufa minuta
Lineage: Eukaryota; Viridiplantae; Chlorophyta; Chlorophyceae
Description: tRNA-Lys
Rfam family: tRNA
About the family: Transfer RNA (tRNA) molecules are approximately 80 nucleotides in length. Their secondary structure includes four short double-helical elements and three loops (D, anti-codon, and T loops).
Source: RNAcentral
GAGUUUAUAGCUUAGUCUGGUAGAGCUUUGAGCUUUUAACUCAAUUGUCGUAAGUUCAAAUCUUACUAAACUCA